RNAcentral lists this small nuclear RNA (19 nucleotides) under Arabidopsis thaliana (thale cress). RNAcentral describes it as "snRNA_08273". The record is from RNAcentral. Lineage: Eukaryota; Viridiplantae; Streptophyta; Magnoliopsida; Brassicales; Brassicaceae.
GUCGCCGCGUGCCGGCCGG